This 2180-nucleotide long non-coding RNA is filed under the name Varroa destructor (honeybee mite). RNAcentral's name for it is "uncharacterized LOC111250937, transcript variant X6". Lineage: Eukaryota; Metazoa; Arthropoda; Arachnida; Mesostigmata; Varroidae. The record is from RNAcentral.
AUGCCGAAUAUAUAUAUUCUAGCUACCUUCUUAUCGUUUACUACUUGGCGUAAUAAUCGUCCAAAUCCAUAAUGCAAUCGUGUAAUGACAAUGUAUUUUGCUUUUAGGUAACAUUGCUUGUUUAAGGCUAUACCUGUUUUUAAACCUUUCAUUCAUUCAUUGUACCUCAUACGUUCCAGUGUACUUAAUUAUAAUUAUAAAUAACUGCAAUGCAAUUAAAUUUUCCUAAACGUGCAUUUAGUACUAACAAGCGAAGAGUUGUGGUCGGACUAUUCUGAGGUGCUCCUUUCUUAACACAAUCUCACAAAAUAUUGGCUGGUCUCUUCGAAUACGACCGUUUAGUUGCUGGUUCGUAUUUUUAACUUUAUUUGCACCGCGCUUCCAGAAAUCACUUUUGCCGUUUUUUCUAUUAUCAUCUAGCAGGCAUAUUUCUAGACGCUUUCUUAUAAACUUCUCGAAAACUGACGAAAAAAUAAGUUUUCUUUAUAUAAACAUAGCUUCUUAUAUUGACGUUACUCUUGACUCUUGUUAUAAUCUUCGUUGGCUUGGGGGCUAAACUGUCGGCUGGCGCUGGCUGUGCUCAUCUGAGCCAGCUUUUACGAUUUGUUCUGGGUGCUCAGUAAUCGUAUGUCGGCGUGCAACGCAAGCAGCGUUUGUUCAGGCAAGAAAUGCAACCACCCUUGCUGAUUUUGGACCAAGGACUGGUCCGAAACAUUCCGAUGUACCUGAGUGCGCUUACAAAUCGACUCGGGCCUUUAUGAAUUGACCAAACUCAUCACGGCUACCCGUCCCAGGCUGCGUAGUCGCGCUGACUAUUCCCGACAGCCGAAAUUUGUUUUCUCGGUUGCCUGCUGUGGUAAAUCUCCCAGCAAAUAAUACUUGCUUGUGUUAUCUAUUCGACGACAACGUUCUUGGACGCGUGUUUUGCCACGACCACCCCACGCUAAAGUUAAUCGAUUUAACUGAGGUCUAUUUUUAUGAAAGGUAUGGACCUGGGAAGUAUUACAUACAGACUGGUAAUUCUAAUCUCUGCAAGCCACAAGAAGGUGCCAUGGUAAUCGUUGAUCCCAUAAUCGUGAAAACAAUAAAAUCAAAUUCGGGCGAGUGAUUAUAAAUGCCAUCGUCACUAACCAGAACCAACGAUGGGUCAGGUGACAGCUAUCACCCUUGUCGCUCGAACCUUCUCGGGUACGCCUAGCUCAAACGAAGUCCGACACCAAUUUCGGCACAGCUGUACUAACAUCUCAAAUCAGUGUUAAUCUAUAGGAGGCCAUAUAAAAUGGUAAGGACAACUUUCCGCUCGGUAGUGACGCCCUACAAAAUCGCCAUUGUAUGCUGUUAACGGUGCAGUAGUACAAUGCUGUUUUUCCAAAUUUAUUGCCGCUCAUCGACCACAAGGACAUCGGUUCCAGUAGACGCGGCGACUCGUUAGGCUCUUCGGCGUAUGGCGUACAUAGGAAAGAUUGCGGUCGAUAAACGAUGGUUCUUAGGAGAAAAAAAAAGCGUUGCUUACGUAAACUUUAAAAAGAUUACGGCUGCAAUCGUGAGCAGAAGUAGUGAAAUUAGCGAUAAAGAUGCCACGAUCCCGGAAACGGCGACGGGAAGAAGUGAAGGCGCUUCAAAGGGGCACUCUCCUUCGUCGGCAAUAAAAUCUUCACGUACACUGUUGGAUUGUCGUGUCAAGGAAAAGUUAUUUCAUUCAAUGCUUUAGAUGCAACUCCGACGUGGACCUUUAGAUUCUGACCAUGCGGCUGAGAACUCGUUAGGAACGUUGAUCGUCGUCCGAUCAAAUCCUUAAUGAGGAACUUGUCUUCUUGCUAAUGUUAGGGGCGCCUGGUGGUCUAUGAUCGAAUCUGAACGUAGACACAAUUUGGGGGCCACAAUUGUCUGAUGCGUCUGAUGGCAACGCCGGAGGUACAACUUGCAACAUUUAAGUGCUUCGGUCGUUGGAAAAAACUGUUUCUUAUCAAAGAUAAGCAACGCGAUCGUAUUUACUUAAUGUAUAAUAAAAUUAAUAAAUUUCACCUAACGUAUAAUAGGGUUCGAGUAGAUUAAUAAAACGACUUAGAAGUGCGGGUCAUAGUCCGAAACCCUCGAAAGUUUGCUACACAGGUUUUCAAAGAGAAACUCUGCUUCGGGAGAUUUUAGCUAUUUUCAUUCGUAAAUACUGAGUAUUUCAA